RNAcentral lists this long non-coding RNA (1175 nucleotides) under Piliocolobus tephrosceles (Ugandan red Colobus). RNAcentral describes it as "lncRNA (ENSPTEG00000027928.1)". The record is from RNAcentral. Lineage: Eukaryota; Metazoa; Chordata; Mammalia; Primates; Cercopithecidae.
UAAAUGAAAUAAGCAAAGCACAAAAAGACAAAUGUGGUAUAAUUUCAUUUAUAUGAUGCACUUAGAAUAGCCAAAUUCAUCAGAACUGAAAGUAACAGAGGUUAUUAGAAGUUUGGUGUAGAAGCAAUAAGAUGUUACUGCUUAAUGGUUACAGAAUUUUUGUUUAGGGGUAAUGGAAAACUAUUUCCAAAAUAAUCAUGACAUAGUAGUGAUGGUUGUACAAUAUUGUGAAUGUAAUUAAUGAAACAGAAUUAAUUGUAAACUUAAUUAAAAUGGCAAAUUAUAUGUCAUAUAUUUGUACUGCAAUUUUAAAAAUUAGUAAUACAUUUACCAAAACCUAUUGAAUUGUUCAUUUUGUUUUCAAAUUUAUUUCAUUUUAUUUUCCUAGAGACAGAGUUUUGCUAUGUUGCCUAGGCCAGAGUACAGUGGCUAUUCACGGGCACAGUCAUGGCGCACUGCAGCCUUGAACUUCUGGGCUCAAGCAAUCCUCCUGCCUCAGCCUCUGGAGUAGCUGGGACUACAGGUGUGUGCCACUGUGCCCAGCUGAACUGUUCACUUCAAAUGGGCAAAUUGUGUGGUUAACUUGGACUUUGUAUCAGCAGUCCCCAGCCUUUUUGGCCCCAGGGACCAGUUUCGUGGAAGACAAUUUUUCCAUGAACCAGGAUUGAGGAAUUGGGAGAUUGGAGGUUUGAGAGGGUGAGUGUGGGAGGUUUGGGAUGAAACAGUUCCGCGUGAGUCUCAUCAGGAGUGUGCAACCUAGAUCCCUCACAUGCACAGUUCACAAUAGGAUUCAAGCUCCUAUGAGAAUGUAAUGCUGUCACUGACCUGACAGGAGGUGGAGCUGAGGCAGUAAUGCUCACUCACCCACCGCUCACCUCCUGCUGUGCUGCCCAGUUCCUAACAGGCCACAGACCAGUACCGAUCUGCAGCAGGGGUUUGGGACCCCUGCUUUAAAUGAUAAAAUCUCAUGAAGCAAGAACAACAAUUUUAGUUGAUGCUAUUCAUUGUGUAGCUUAGCAUUUAAUGCACUACAGACACUAUAAAAAUAUUUGAAAAAUAUUUGUUGACUGACAAUACUAGUCAGACCAUGUAAUGCACAGUCCUAAGCACUAAAGAGUGAUACAAAGAUUAUGAAAACAAGGUCCUGCACUCACAAUUAAUAAAGAAAAUGAGGC